Lactifluus volemus is the source of this 109-nucleotide non-coding RNA. The record is from the annotation of a GenBank genome assembly. NCBI's taxonomy places the organism in Eukaryota, Fungi, Basidiomycota, Agaricomycetes, Russulales, Russulaceae.
GGGCGGAUGGCACAGUGGUAGCGCGCUUGCUUCGCAUGCUUGAGUCAUCCUGGGAUGACAUGAGUCCUUGAGUUGCAUGAGGUCGUGGGUUCAAACCCCACUUCGUCCA